CAGCAGCCGCGGUAAUACGUAGGGUGCGAGCGUUAAUCGGAAUUACUGGGCGUAAAGCGUGCGCAGGCGGUUUUGUAAGACAGGCGUGAAAUCCCCAGGCUCAACCUGGGAAUGGCGCUUGUGACUGCAAAGCUAGAGUGCGGCAGAGGGGGAUGGAAUUCCGCGUGUAGCAGUGAAAUGCGUAGAUAUGCGGAGGAACACCGAUGGCGAAGGCAAUCCCCUGGGCCUGCACUGACGCUCAUGCACGAAAGCGUGGGGAGCAAACAGGAUUAGAUACCCCUGUAGUCCCUGUCUCUUAUAC
Molecule: ribosomal RNA, 301 nt
Filed under: uncultured bacterium
Lineage: Bacteria
Description: partial 16S ribosomal RNA
Rfam family: Bacterial small subunit ribosomal RNA
Source: RNAcentral